RNAcentral lists this ribosomal RNA (500 nucleotides) under uncultured bacterium. RNAcentral's name for it is "partial 16S ribosomal RNA". It matches the Rfam family "Bacterial small subunit ribosomal RNA", at positions 30 to 523 of the family's 1533-position model. The record is from RNAcentral.
AUUGAACGCUGGCGGAAUGCUUUACACAUGCAAGUCGAACGGCAGCACGGACUUCGGUCUGGUGGCGAGUGGCGAACGGGUGAGUAAUGUAUCGGAACGUGCCCAGUCGUGGGGGAUAACGUAGUGAAAAUUACGCUAAUACCGCAUACGAUCUAUGGAUGAAAGCGGGGGAUCGCAAGACCUCGCGCGAUUGGAGCGGCCGAUAUCAGAUUAGGUAGUUGGUGGAGUAAAAGCCCACCAAGCCAACGAUCUGUAGCUGGUCUGAGAGGACGACCAGCCACACUGGAACUGAGACACGGUCCAGACUCCUACGGGAGGCAGCAGUGGGGAAUUUUGGACAAUGGGCGAAAGCCUGAUCCAGCCAUUCCGCAUGCAGGAUGAAGGCCCUCGGGUUGUAAACUGCUUUUGUACGGAACGAAAAGGUUUCUACUAAUACUAGGAGCUCAUGACGGUACUGUAAGAAUAAGCACCGGCUAACUACGUGCCAGCCGCCGCCGUAA